GGGGCACCACCAGGAGUGGAGCUUGCGGUUUAAUUUGACUCAACACGGGAAAACUUACCCGGCCCGGACACUGGGAGGAUUGACAGAUUGACAGCUUUUUUUUGAUUCAGGGGGUGGUGGUGCAUGGCCCUUCUUAGUUGGUGGAGCGAUUUGUCUGGUUAAUUCCGAUAACAAACGACACUCUAGCUUGCUAAAUAGACUGUUACUUACUUCGUUGUCGGCGUCUUCUUAGAAGAGAGGGAGACGCCGCGACUGAGCCGCACAAAACAGUGACAUGACUGGUCUGUCCUGGCCUUCGAUGGGCGCCGCCGCACGCCAGUGAUAUUGUAGUCAUCAACGUGCAUACGCUUUGCGUUUUGAACCGAGAAACCCACCGAACGAACCUUGUUGGUGUUAGGGAUCUGGCCUUGAACCUCUAGCCCGGGGGCGAGGAAUUCCUCGAUCGUGUGAGUCUUUUGUUUCUUUUCUCUCCCUCCUUGCUCUUUUCUACCAAUCGUAAGAUUGAUUAACUAAUUGAAU
RNAcentral lists this ribosomal RNA (519 nucleotides) under uncultured eukaryote. Its description in RNAcentral is "bacterial SSU rRNA". It matches the Rfam family "Eukaryotic small subunit ribosomal RNA", at positions 1161 to 1661 of the family's 1831-position model. The record is from RNAcentral.